This is a long non-coding RNA of Ictalurus punctatus (channel catfish), 2201 nucleotides long. The record is from Ensembl. NCBI's taxonomy places the organism in Eukaryota, Metazoa, Chordata, Actinopteri, Siluriformes, Ictaluridae.
GUACAUGGACUCUUCACACUUCGACCAUAAUACAUAAGGCACACCGCCACGUCAUAGGAGGAAGUUCAACAUCUCCUUAUCUGUCCAGAUGUCCUUCUACACCACCAUGACAGAGAGCAUCCUCACCGGGAACAUCACCACAGUGCUGAGGCAACAAAGCCUAGUAGAGGGUCACAAGGUCCCUGCAGGACAUCUACACCAUGUGGUGCAGGAGCAGGUGGUGCAGAGUAUCUACGGCAGGCGGUGCAGGAUCUACAUCAAGUGGCACAACCACAUGGCCAGAACUGACAAGCUAAGGAGCAACAUUUUUUCUCCAAGCCAUGAACGCCACCAUAACCACCAACUCCUUCUAGCUCCUCUGCACAUCUCCAUUGUCCCCGUUUUUUCGGCGCGGUGACGUCACGGAGACGCCGAGCUCCGAUUGGCCGCCCGUGUGGACGCAGCGGAGCUUUAAAGGGGCCGCAUGCAACGGAGGCGCAAAGAAGGAGCUCGAGCAUCUCCAUAUCAUCCAAACCCUCUCUCCAUCCCUCCAUCACCCCAUCCCCGGGCGCUCCAGCAGACUCUCUCUCUUUAUCUUUCUGUUUCUCUUUCUCUCUCUCUCUCUCUCUCUCUCUCUGUCUAUCUCUUGGUCUCUCUCUCUCCAUCUUUCUCACUCUGUUGCUUUCUGUCCCUCUUUGUCUCUCACUCUCUCUUUCUCUCCAUCUCUCUCACUCUCUCUUUCCCUAUCGCUUUCUCUCGGUUGCCGUGGUUACAGCCACUCAUGGUAGAUAGGAGAAGGUGCCGGAGAUCAAACAGCUGUUGUGUCCAGAUGUCGUUCUCCUUCUCCCGUUGCUAUGGACCUUUGUUCUACUCUGAGUACAGGUGCAGCACCCCCGAACACACACACACACACACACACACACACACACACACACACACACAAAGAAAACAUGAUGAGGACAUGAUGUCUGGCUUUGUGCUGUACACAUCAGCGCAUCAGUGGGGGAAGAGAGGAUGAUGAUGGGGGAGAGGAAUAUAAGGAGACAUGGGGGAGAAAAUAAGAGUAAAUAAAAGAGGGAGCAGGAGAGAGAGAGAAAGAAAGAUAAUAGAGAAUAAAUAAAAAACAGAAAAUCGGAGAGAGGAUUAGAGAGAGCGAGGAAAGACAAGGGGAGAAAAGAAUGAGAGAUGGAGAUGAAGAAUGAAAGAGAGAUAAACAGUGAUAACAGAAAAUAAGAGAGGGAUAAAUGGAGGAGAGGUAGGAAAACGACAGAAGGAAGAGAGAAGGUGAGAGAGAGGAAGAAAAAGAUGAGUGUGUAAAGGAGGUAGAGAGAGAAAGAUCGGAAAAGGUGAAGAGGAUAAGACAGGAAUGGAGGGCGACUGAAAAGAGGGGAAAAAAGAAAGUGAGAUAAAGGGAAAUAUUAAAUUGCUAAAAAAAAAAAAGACGGAGAGAGAGAUAGAUGAAGGGAAAGCACAGGGGGGGUUUAAAGGGACGACAAAUAAAGGGAGAGAUGAUUAAAAAAGAUAAAGUGAGAAACAUAAAACAAACAUGGCAAUGGAGAAAUAAUAACAAGAGUAACAUGGGGAGAGUGGUAGAAAAGGAAAAGAAAGAAAGAGAGAUAGCGGGAGAGAGGAUAGAGGUGCGUAACAGUGGGACAGAGGGAAACGAAUUAGAAAGUGGAGGAGAAUAAGAAAAAAGGAUGGGGGAAAUGAAAAGAGAGAAAGUAAGAAAAAGGGAAGGACAGGCGUAGAAUGAAAGAGAGAUGAGAGAGAAAAGAGAUGGAAAAAUUAGAGUAAGAAUAAAAUGAGGCAGAAAAAGAAAAGAAAGAGAGAGAGAUCGAUAGGGGGGAAACGAUAAAGGUGCAUAAAAGAGACUGAGGGAGGAAACGGAAAGGAAAAAAGAGAAAACGUGAAAGAAAGAAGUUCAAAAAGACGGAAAAAUAGAAGUGAAGAACGAGUUGGGCAGAGCGGAAGAACAGGGCAAGAAGAAAGAGGGAGAGAGAGAGAGGAAGAAAGGCAAAGGUGAAAGAGAGAGUGAGGUGAAAAAAAAGGAGAGAAGAGAAAAUGAUGAAGAAAAUAGAAAGAAGAGAGAAAAAGGGUAAAGAGACUGAGAGCAAAAAGAAGUAGAGAAAAAAGAGAAAAUAUAUAAAUGAGAGCGUGUGUGUGUGUGUGUGUGUGUGUGUGUGUGUGUGUGUGUGUGUGUGUGACAGAGAGAGAGAGAGAGA